ACACAAAGAGACAGACAGACAUGCAGUAAGAGAGACAGACAAGCAGGCAGACAAAAGAGAGAGAGAGAGAGAGAGAGAGAGAGAGAGAGACAUAUAGACACAAAGAGAGACAGACAGACAUGCAGUAAGAGAGACAGACAAGCAGGCAGACAAAAAGAGACAGACAGACAUGCAGUAAGAGAGACAGACAAGCAGGCAGACAAAAAGAGACAGACAGACAUGCAGUAAGAGAGACAGACAAGCAGGCAGACAAAAAGAGAGAGAGAGAAAGAGAGAGAGAGAGACAGACAUAUAGACACAAGAGAGACAGACAGACAUGCAGUGAGAGAGACAGACAAGCAGGAGAGCAAAAAGAGAGAGAGAGAGAGAGAGAGAGAGA
This is a long non-coding RNA of Ictalurus punctatus (channel catfish), 379 nucleotides long. The record is from Ensembl. NCBI's taxonomy places the organism in Eukaryota, Metazoa, Chordata, Actinopteri, Siluriformes, Ictaluridae.